RNAcentral lists this ribosomal RNA (465 nucleotides) under uncultured bacterium. RNAcentral describes it as "partial 16S ribosomal RNA". It matches the Rfam family "Bacterial small subunit ribosomal RNA", at positions 28 to 507 of the family's 1533-position model. The record is from RNAcentral.
GACGAACGCUGGCGGCGUGCCUAACACAUGCAAGUCGUACGGUAAGGUCCUUUCGGGGGUACACGAGUGGCGUACGGGUGAGUAACACGUGAGUAUCCUGCCCAUAACUUUGGGACAACGCUAGGAAACUGGUGCCAAUACUGGAUACGUGCUCUUGCUGCAUGGUGGGGGUUCGAAAGUUCCGGCGGCUGUGGAUGGACUGGAGGCCUAUCCGCUUGUACGUGGGGUAGUGGCCUACCAAGGCGGCGACGCGAAGCCGGACUGAGUGGGUGACCAGCCACAUUGAGACUGAGAUAAGGCCCAGACUCCGACGAGAGGGAGAAGUGGGAAAGAUUGCACAAGGGACGCAGGCCUGAUGCAGAAGCGCCGCGUGCGGGAGAACGACCUUCGGAUUGUAGACCGAAUGCAGCAGGAACGAGGCUUUUUGUGACGGUACCUGCAGAAGAAGCACCGGCUAACUACGUG